UACGGGGGGAGCAAGCGUUGUUCGGAUUUACUGGGCGUACAGGGCGCGUAGGCGGCCACCGCAAGUCGACUGUGAAAUCUCCGGGCUUAACCCGGAAAGGUCAGCCGAUACUGCGGGGCUAGAGUGCAGAAGGGGCAACUGGAAUUCUCGGUGUAGCGGUGAAAUGCGUAGAUAUCGAGAGGAACACCUGCGGCGAAGGCGGGUUGCUGGGCUGACACUGACGCUGAGGCGCGAAAGCUAGGGGAGCGAACGGG
RNAcentral lists this ribosomal RNA (254 nucleotides) under uncultured bacterium. Its description in RNAcentral is "partial 16S ribosomal RNA". It matches the Rfam family "Bacterial small subunit ribosomal RNA", at positions 524 to 776 of the family's 1533-position model. The record is from RNAcentral.